GAGCCCGGCUCUGAUGGCACUCCCAGUCUCUGGCUGGAGACCCUCCCCGGAGGCUACCUUCCGUGGGCCUGGACCACAGGAUGCAGAUUGAUGAGCAUUUGGUUCCAAACAGUGCCUGCAGAUCUAUGUGAAUGAUGAAGCAACAUCUUAUAUACAAACAACAAGGGUUUACUGAGCCCCUCACACGUGCCAACCCUGCCAGAGACCACCAUGCUCAACCUGCAUUUGCGAUUCCUUUUCAAUACAUGUGCUUGGAAUUCAAAGGAAACAGACUCGGCAGGGGAUUGAUUUCUUGCCUUUUGAAAACUGGAUAUGAAGAGGAGAGGAGAAGAGAUCCUGGAGUGUCUGACUGAGCAAGCUGGGCAAGAAUCUCACAGGCUAGACAUAGCCAAAGACAAACGGCCACAGAGAAGUGCUCUUCCCCAAGGCCCCUUCCUCUGCCUGCAGGGAGCAGAGCCAGAAGCAAAAAUACCUGGGUAUCAGCAGGACACCUACUUUGACCUUCAUGUUAGCCAAAAGAAUCCAAAUCUAUGUUUUAUCACAUGCCUGUCCUCUGGAGAGGGACUUAACCAUAUUCAGAGCUGGUUUCCUCAUCUCUGAAAGGGGAAAACUAAUCAUUCCUCCCUCGGGGUGGUUGUGAGAAUAACAUGGAAGAGUGCAUACGUAAUUCUUGGCACCUCCUGUGGGCUCCAUGGAUGGCGUAUAUUAAUAUCAUGGUGAUUAACAUGGCCUGUUGAAGCUCAAGUUGUGAGCUGUGCUUCUGCUUGGAUUGUGCACUGAGGAUCAUUCCAGAUGUCAGGUUGACAGGUGCGCCCUGGGUGAGCCAAGGUGGAUGCAAGAGGCUGGAGUAUCUCUGUACUAAACUGGCUGUCAUCUGUCCCUGGGGGGAUCAGGAAGUGCUGGUCACUUUGCAGUAGCAUUUUGGGCUUGGGAAGUCCAUGGAAUGUGCAGAAAGCAGCCUGGGUCAGACUUGGUGCUCUCAGGGGUCAUGAGGCCAUGCUGAGGUAACAGAGUGGUUUGUCUUACCAGAUGUUAAGUGGUGCUUUCCCAUGGCAUCAGAACCAGCAACUAUACCACAGACAACAGUAAAGGGUUUAAAGAGAGCUGCAGGUAAAUGGGUGUCAGGGAACCACGAAGUCCGCCAAGAGGUAACCAAUCGAUUCUGCUGCCUCUUUACCCCUCCCUGAUCCCUGACCUCACAACUCCUUUUCCCCAGCCUGCAUGGAAACAACUGGGAUAGAAGGUAGGGGAGGGGGAAUAACCAAUAGGAAUUCAGGGAUUAUUGGUCCAGUCCUCCCUUCCUCUUCUUGGGGGACGACAGGACAAUGAUGAGAAUUUUCAAGAGUCCCUCAUGAAGAUCUGGAAGGUCUGUGGAAAGGGAAAUCUUUCAUUGUUCAUGAAAGAGAUGCAGUUGUCUUUUAAACCCCAUGUAACCAUGGAUGAGAGAAGAGACUUAGAGCUGGCAGGAGACAGCAAUGCAAGGUCCUGAAUUCCUGUGGCUUGGUGGCAAGGUUAUGUGGUUGCCUGCGGGAACAGUCAUGCUGAGGGUUUUGAACUUGUUUACUGCCCCACAGAGGCGAAAGCUGGGAUGCGUACCCAAGUUAUUGAUGCGCUUUUCCCACCUCGGAAUUUCUUCAACCACUCCAACAUGUGCCAAACAGAGCUUGUCACAUGGGGUGUGAGUGACAAAUCAGUGAACAGAAGACCAAGAUGGCUCUGGAGGGUGAGGGGGCUUCCCCAUGCCCACAUGCAGCAGAGAGGCCAGGUCCAGGGCCAGCAUGUACCAGAGGCCAGAGGUCAUCCUGGAAGGGUGUGCCACAGUGGGGCACCAGCACUUCCUGCCUGCCAGAGCUGAACUUUGGAGGAAGAAGGGAAGCACUUCAUAUGCAACAUCCCAGAGGGAUGCCCAGUCUCUGAAAUCAAGAUAAGCAUGUUGAAACAAAAUCCUAAAACUCAAAGCCAAUGUGAGCUCUCGUGAUGACUAGAGAACGCUGGAGAUUUCCCAUACAUGGGAUGGGUAGCACUGAUGGGGCAAUCCCCUGUGGCACACUCCUUCCUGCUACCAGAGACAGAAGUGUCGUGGACCUGCGGGGGACAUUUAUGUGGCACAACAAAGUGACCAUGACACACGGGGAGAGGGAAAGCCAGCUUAGACUCCACAGCCUGAAUGCCUACCCCACGCCCUUUCCUGCAUUGAAGCCUUCAGGAGACAUAUUGCCAGGGGAAAGAAUGGUUGAAGGAACUGGAGAGAUCAAUGGGGGAAAGUGGACAAGGGUUGAACAACUCCUUGUGGUGCAAAAUGAAAUUUGCUCAUAGUCCUAUGCAAGGGAGAUGUCAGUAGGGCUGCCAGCAGUCUGUUGCUCAGGCAUAGUAUGCUGGGGACUGUGCCUAUGGUCAUGCAGACCCUUCUGAACCUGAACCAGGGAGGAGGGAUCCUGCCUUGGCUAUUAAGUAGGUUACUAUACCACCAUGGGUACAGUCCACUCAAGGUCAUGAUGUCCAUGGACAAAGGUGCUUGCUUGUGUCUUUCUCUCUCCAUCAAUCCUGCCCUUUGAGAGAUGUCAGGCUUCUUUCUUGACAUAUUUCCAGUUGUUUUAAUGAUAAAUCUGGUAGGUGUUAUGUCCCCAGUGCUGAAUCUUUGAACUCAAGGCCGAUAGGCUCCAGGCUAGGAUGGAUGGAUGGAUGGGCUCUUUACACUGACCUCUGCCCUUCAUCCCAAAGCCAGCCUUCUGAAGGCCACUUGAGUAAUUCAUUCCUCUUCUUCCAGGCCUUGAUGUCUGCACCUCCCCCACCUCCGCAUCUACUGACAGAACCUAAAGCAAGAGACAGCCUUCCUUCACCAAGCUGUGAUAAAUUCCCAGCAUAGCAGGUUCCAGGGUGCUGGCCUUGGUGCAGUUGUUUCGAUAAAUGAGCAUUCUCACACAUGACAGACGGCCCCGCAUACUGGACAUACAUUUAACCCGAGUGAACCCAUCCUCUCUCUCUUUAACAACACGAUUUUGCAAGCAAUGCCUUUGGAUGGCACUGUCCUGGGGUGGUAAUUUCUAAUUGAUAAGUGUUGUCAGCAGACGCUAGUAACUCCUCACCUUCUUCUAGACAAUGGAGUCUGUAUCUUGGCUCUGAGCUCCGACAGCACCUGGCCUGCUGAAUAAACAUCACAUCAAAGGUUA
Long non-coding RNA from Jaculus jaculus (lesser Egyptian jerboa), 3170 nucleotides. RefSeq lists it as uncharacterized. Lineage: Eukaryota; Metazoa; Chordata; Mammalia; Rodentia; Dipodidae. The transcript is spliced from 2 exons. The record is from RefSeq and is a predicted model, not a curated record.